UACGAGGGGGGCAAGCGUUGUUCGGAAUUACUGGGCGUAAAGGAUGCGUAGGCGGACAUUUAAGUCAGAUGUGAAAUACCCGAGCUUAACUUGGGUGCUGCAUUUGAAACUGGGUGUCUAGAGUGCAGGAGAGGUAAGUGGAAUUCCUAGUGUAGCGGUGAAAUGCGUAGAGAUUAGGAAGAACACCAGUGGCGAAGGCGACUUACUGGACUGUAACUGACGCUGAGGCAUGAAAGCGUGGGGAGCAAACAGG
RNAcentral lists this ribosomal RNA (253 nucleotides) under uncultured bacterium. Its description in RNAcentral is "partial 16S ribosomal RNA". It matches the Rfam family "Bacterial small subunit ribosomal RNA", at positions 524 to 776 of the family's 1533-position model. The record is from RNAcentral.